CCUACGGGCGGCUGCAGUGGGGAAUAUUGGACAAUGGGGGGAACCCUGAUCCAGCCAUGCCGCGUGUGUGAAGAAGGCCCUCGGGUUGUAAAGCACUUUCAGUGAGGAAGAACGCCUGGUGGUGAAUACCCAUCAGGAAAGACAUCACUCACAGAAGAAGCACCGGCUAACUCCGUGCCAGCAGCCGCGGGAAUACGGAGGGUGCGAGCGUUAAUCGGAAUUACUGGGCGUAAAGCGCGCGUAGGUGGCUUGAUAAGCCGGUUGUGAAAGCCCCGGGCUCAACCUGGGAACGGCAUCCGGAACUGUCAAGCUAGAGUGCAGGAGAGGAAGGUAGAAUUCCCGGUGUAGCGGUGAAAUGCGUAGAGAUCGGGAGGAAUACCAGUGGCGAAGGCGGCCUUCUGGACUGACACUGACACUGAGGUGCGAAAGCGUGGGUAGCAAACAGGAUUAGAUACCCGAGUAGUC
Molecule: ribosomal RNA, 465 nt
Filed under: Vreelandella stevensii
Lineage: Bacteria; Pseudomonadati; Pseudomonadota; Gammaproteobacteria; Oceanospirillales; Halomonadaceae
Description: partial 16S ribosomal RNA
Rfam family: Bacterial small subunit ribosomal RNA
Source: RNAcentral